RNAcentral lists this ribosomal RNA (408 nucleotides) under uncultured bacterium. Its description in RNAcentral is "partial 16S ribosomal RNA". It matches the Rfam family "Bacterial small subunit ribosomal RNA", at positions 28 to 526 of the family's 1533-position model. The record is from RNAcentral.
GACGAACGCUGGCGGCGUGCUUAACACAUGCAAGUCGAACGAAGUGGCGAACGGAUGAGUAAUACGUGGGUAACCUGCCCUCCUUUUUGGGAUAAGCCUUGGAAACGGGGUCUAAUACCGAAUAAAGGGGGUUGGGCUCGCGGCCUAUCAGCUUGUUGGGGGGGUGAUGGCCUACCAAGGCGGUGACGGGUAGCCGGCCUGAGAGGGUGACCGGCGACAUUGGGACUGUGGUACGGCCCAGACUCCUACGGGAGGCAGCAGUGGGGGAUAUGGCACAAUGGGCGAUAGUCUGAUGCAGCGACUCCGCGGGGGGGAUGAAGGCUUUCGGGUUGUAAACCUCUUUCGCUAUCUAAGGGGUAGGUGGAGAAGAAGCGCCGGGUAACUACGUGCCAGCAGCCGCGGUAAUAC